Molecule: small nuclear RNA, 162 nt
Organism: Daphnia pulex (common water flea)
Lineage: Eukaryota; Metazoa; Arthropoda; Branchiopoda; Diplostraca; Daphniidae
Product: U1 spliceosomal RNA
Exons: 1
Source: RefSeq, a predicted model, not a curated record
AUACUUACCUGGCUCAGAGGCAACCAUGAUCACUAAGGUGGUUCCUCCAGGGCGUGGCCUUUCCAUUGCACUAAGGAUGGGCUGACCCCUUUAGAAGUGAUAUUCUCACGACCGGCUUUAUCUAAAUUUUUUAAAUUUUUUAAAAUUAUCAAUAUUGAAAAC